AUGCUCAUUGUGAGGCACAGCAGAGACGACAUCAUGAGCAAGACCAAAAGAAUCAGGAUCUCAAGCAACCUAGUGCCGUUGUUCAAGGACCCUCUCAAAUGUCACCUCUGCGAAGCCUUCCUUGCCCUCUCAGCCAGAAGAGCCCUCCCUGGUCUAGGACUCUACAGUAAACUGGUGGAAGGAGUCUUGCCUGGGGCCAGAGCCCUGGUGACCAGGGGUGCCCUUGGGAGGUGUUUGUCAUCCUUGGAAAGAGGUACAGGAGCCACCGAAAUGUUUAGGACCAGGGCACCAGUGAAACACACGAUCCUCCUUUCAUGUAAUGCCUGGUAAGCAGGCAAGGAAAACGACGUUUCACUAAAAUGAGAGACUGCUGAUGUCACACCAAGUUUUAAAAAACUGGAGCACUAAAUUACAUAUGCAACAUGGUUAAAAAAUCUGGACGGCACCACAGCAGAUCAUUAGUGGUGGACGUUGUUUUGGGGCGUGGGACCAUGGGUUGUUUGGGGGUUUCUCUAGUCUUUGCAGUGGUUUCUAUGUUUCCUCUGGAGAACAUCUAUUACUUUUCUAAUAAAAAUAUUUAAAUAAGCCAUGUGUUUUCUCCUUUUUUAAAAAGAAAAAAUGGAAUGAAUCAUGAUUCAUUUAUGUAAGCAAGAUUCCAGCCAAUUCCUGCUCAGGGAAAGCCCUUGCUUACAUAAAAACUGGUAAAUAAGUGCAUUCUCAUGUUUUCGUUUAAAGUAAAAUGUUUAAAUGUUUACACAAUGUCCGUAGAUGAGUCCUUUUGUACUUAGCCGCCAGUCCUGAGCAGGCAGACUCAGUGGGCUUCCAGUCACCCAGGAAAUCAAGCAGCAGUGGUUUCUGUAGCAGGGGGCUUGGGGAAGAUGCAAUCACCCACCCAGCCAAGAAGUCCACUCAAGUCCCAUAAUUCCACCUCAUUCCUUGAUUUUGUGUCCCCAUGAGACAAAGCAAAAGGGAGGAGCUACUCUUUCCCCAGCCUGUUCUCUGUUCUGAUCCAUGUCUCUCUCAGCUGGUUCAAGUCUUUGAAUAAUUUUUUCCAUGGUGGUGGCAAGAAUGACAUUUUUCUGAGCCCUCUCACUCCAGCACAUCAUUUUGUUGCCAUUGCUUGCAAAGGACACUGUUCAGUAUCCUCUGCUGUGGUUUGCAGUGUAUCCUCCAAUGGUUCCCAGGGUGGUAUUACUGGGAGGUAGCGUGGAACACUUAGGAGGCGGGGCCUAGUGGGAGGAUUUUAGGUCAUUGGCACUUGGUGAUGUGAUCUCUCCCUUCUACAUGACAGUGCACCAUUGCCAUCCACUAUGUGGUGAUAGACACAAGAGGAGGGGCCUGCAAGAGCCUAUGUGACAAUGUUUGAACUCUUAGCACCCAGAAUUGUAAGCUAAAUAAAUCUCUUUCCUUUAUAAAGUUGGCCUGCUUCAUGUAUCUUGUUCAUAGGAAAGCAAAAUGGACGAGCAGAGCAUUACAGCCUGUUUAUCUCCAGUCCAUAGAUGUUGUUCUACUGAGGUCUCCUAUAUUUGCUGCUGCACAAAACCCUGAUUUUUCUUGCUUUUAUGUUGCCCAUUCCCAAAACCUAUCUUCAACCUCUGGUCAAUCUGAUGUUUAUAGUAUUUUCUUUUCUCUUUGCAAUUCAAAAAUGCCAUCAGAAUGUGUUUAAGGGACACUCACCUCACCCUUUCUUGUGUUCUGUAUGGGAGGCAAGGUUCCAUUUCUUGGGUGAAGACACAGAAGCUGGACCCUCAACUACCUCCCAGGUUUCUGGGACUUCCUCUCACACUCCUCAUAGACCACCCCAACUUUGCCCUGUGAGGCAAACCUGCUGUUAACAAAAAGUACCUGGAUGGUGGAGUCCCACUGGCUGGCAUUCAGGUAGAUCCCAGCUGUGCCACUUAAUUAAGGGGGUGACUUUAGGUGAGGCCCUUCCUGAGCCUAGGUCCUUCUCUUGGUGUCAGGAGCAUCAUCCUAGUGAGGCCUGUUGGCAGGGCACAGCAGGAUCACCCUCAGGACCAGAUCAGCACCAGCCCUUUUUGUUGCUCAGGCAUGAAAGUUCUCCACAUCCAUGUAUUUUUCUGGGCAGUGGAUGGCCCAGCUGUCCCCAACUCCAUCCUCUCAGCCACAGAC
This is a long non-coding RNA of Fukomys damarensis (Damara mole-rat), 2130 nucleotides long. The record is from Ensembl. Lineage: Eukaryota; Metazoa; Chordata; Mammalia; Rodentia; Bathyergidae.